RNAcentral lists this ribosomal RNA (316 nucleotides) under Methylotenera sp. RNAcentral describes it as "partial 23S ribosomal RNA". It matches the Rfam family "Bacterial large subunit ribosomal RNA", at positions 1 to 361 of the family's 2925-position model. The record is from RNAcentral. Lineage: Bacteria; Pseudomonadati; Pseudomonadota; Betaproteobacteria; Nitrosomonadales; Methylophilaceae.
GAUCAAGCGAAUAAGUGCAUAUGGUGGAUGCCUUGGCGAUUACAGGCGAUGAAGGACGUGGUAGCCUGCGUAAAAUUUCGGGGAGCUGGCAAACAAGCUUUGAUCCGGAAGUGUCCGAAUGGGGAAACCCACCCGCAAGGGUAACCGUCUCUGAAUAUAUAGGAGAAUGGUGGCGAACCGAGUGAACUGAAACAUCUAAGUAGCUCGAGGAAAAGAAAUCAACCGAGAUUCCGUAAGUAGUGGCGAGCGAACAUGGAAUAGCCUGUUAUUUUUAGCACAUGCGAUAGUAGAACGGAAUGGAAAGUCCGGCCAUAGA